RNAcentral lists this ribosomal RNA (208 nucleotides) under uncultured bacterium. RNAcentral describes it as "partial 16S ribosomal RNA". It matches the Rfam family "Bacterial small subunit ribosomal RNA", at positions 568 to 774 of the family's 1533-position model. The record is from RNAcentral.
UGUGUAGGUGGCUGUGCAAGUCAUUGAUGAAAUCCCGAGGCUCAACCUCGGAAUUGUCUCUGAAACUUCACAGCUUGAGGAUAUUUGAGGAAAACGGAAAUUCCCGGUGGAGCGGUGAAAUGCGUAGAUAUCGGGAGGAACACCAGAGGCGAAGGCGGUUUUCUAGAGUAUUCCUGACACUGAGACACGAAAGCUAGGGGAGCAAACG